This 73-nucleotide transfer RNA is filed under the name Ignavibacteriota bacterium. Its description in RNAcentral is "Ignavibacteriae bacterium (activated sludge metagenome) tRNA-Pro". It matches the Rfam family "tRNA". From Rfam's summary of the family: Transfer RNA (tRNA) molecules are approximately 80 nucleotides in length. Their secondary structure includes four short double-helical elements and three loops (D, anti-codon, and T loops). Lineage: Bacteria; Pseudomonadati; Ignavibacteriota. The record is from RNAcentral.
CGGAAUAUAGCUCAGUAGGGAGAGCGCCUGCUUUGGGAGCAGGAGGUCGCAGGUUCAAGCCCUGUUAUUCCGA